Molecule: ribosomal RNA, 253 nt
Filed under: uncultured bacterium
Lineage: Bacteria
Description: partial 16S ribosomal RNA
Rfam family: Bacterial small subunit ribosomal RNA
Source: RNAcentral
UACGGAGGGUGCGAGCGCUAAUCGGAAUUACUGGGCGUAAAGCGCACGCAGGCGGUUUGUUAAGCUAGAUGUGAAAGCCCCGGGCUCAACCUGGGAUGGUCAUUUAGAACUGGCAGACUAGAGUCUUGGAGAGGGGAGUGGAAUUCCAGGUGUAGCGGUGAAAUGCGUAGAUAUCUGGAGGAACAUCAGUGGCGAAGGCGACUCCCUGGCCAAAGACUGACGCUCAUGUGCGAAAGUGUGGGUAGCGAACAGG